Neopelma chrysocephalum (saffron-crested tyrant-manakin) is the source of this 328-nucleotide long non-coding RNA. RefSeq lists it as uncharacterized. The transcript has 3 exons. NCBI's taxonomy places the organism in Eukaryota, Metazoa, Chordata, Aves, Passeriformes, Pipridae. The record is from RefSeq and is a predicted model, not a curated record.
CUCAGCAACCCAGUGUAUGGGUGAAGGUGUCAGUCUGCCUGCAUACUGCUACAUGGUUCUUGUUUUGAAGCAGCUAGUUCCUUAUGAGAGCACAAAACUGGGAAGGAGUUCCUGGGUCACCAAAUCCUAUUUCUCAAUAUCUUCAAGAAGUGCUUAAAAAGGAUAAGAAAUGAGAAUAAGUGGCUUCACAGGGAUCUGCAGAUUACCUUCCAGUCUCACCUGAGGGUAGCUCACCAUGAUCAUUGCUUGUCUGACUGGAGGCUUCAGAGGAGUCACAAGUAUAGGUAAUACACACAAUUCUGUUUUCAGAUUAAAUUUCCUCUUUAUA